This 377-nucleotide long non-coding RNA is filed under the name Mus spicilegus (steppe mouse). RNAcentral's name for it is "lncRNA (ENSMSIG00000026187.1)". The record is from RNAcentral. Lineage: Eukaryota; Metazoa; Chordata; Mammalia; Rodentia; Muridae.
CUGUGAUGUCAGCAGCGUGGAGGGCACAAGCUGGGACCUGAGUCCAGGAAGAAAGAAAGGAAGGAUUCUGAGGAUUUGGGCAAAGCCACAUUCCUGGAGAAGUCUGUAUACUGAUGCCAAACCCAAGAGCUGAGCUACUGAUGAGGCCCAGGGAGUAGCCCACACGCCCUGAGCUGUUGGCUAGCAAGGCCUUCCUGCUCCAUGUGGCAUGGAAAAAUUAUAUGCAAGCUUCUUGUCACACUGUCUUAUGACAAGGAGACGUCUUACUAAAGCACAGACUCGCUGGUAGGCGCCUGGAUUUGACUGGCUGGGCUGUCUACACAUCAUUCAGUUUGGAAAGUAAGCCCAGUCUCAGAGAGCUGAAGUAUUAACCCGAG